RNAcentral lists this ribosomal RNA (407 nucleotides) under uncultured bacterium. Its description in RNAcentral is "partial 16S ribosomal RNA". It matches the Rfam family "Bacterial small subunit ribosomal RNA", at positions 28 to 526 of the family's 1533-position model. The record is from RNAcentral.
GUCGAACGCUGGCGGCGUGCCUAAUACAUGCAAGUAGAACGCCGUUGCGAAAGGGUGAGUAACGUGUAGGUAACUGCCUCAUUGCGGGGGAUUACUAUUGGAAACGAUAGCUAAUACCGCACACUGUGAGAUGGACCUGCGUUGUAUUAGCGAGUUGGUGGGGGAAAGGCUCACCAAGGCGACGAUACAUAGUCGGCCUGAGAUGGGGAAAGGCCAACCUGGGACUGAGACACCGGCCAGGAUCCUACAGGAGGGAGCAAUAGGGAAAUUUCGGAAAUGGACGGAAGUCUGACCGAGCAACGCCGCGUGGAUGGAGAAGGUUUUCGGAUCGUAAAGCUCUGUUAUUAGAGAAGCGGUAACUAGCCAGAAAGGUACGGCUAACUACGUGCCAGCCGCCGCGGUAAUAC